This 139-nucleotide ribosomal RNA is filed under the name uncultured bacterium. Its description in RNAcentral is "partial 16S rRNA". It matches the Rfam family "Eukaryotic small subunit ribosomal RNA", at positions 432 to 570 of the family's 1831-position model. The record is from RNAcentral.
GCGCGCAAAUUACCCAAUCCUGACACGGGGAGGUAGUGACAAUAGAUAACAAUACCGGGCGCGUUAGUGUCUGGUAAUUGGAAUGAGUACAAUCUAAAUCCCUUAACGAGGAUCCAUUGAAGGGCAAGUCUGGUGCCAG